AUGUCUUUGGAAAUAUUGAGCUGCGCUGGUGCAGUUCUCGAUUAUUACAGUGGCCGUAGAAGGGAAAGAGUCCAACACUAUAGAAACCAAAUCCAUCCAUCCACAAGCAUCUUAUAUCUCUAUCAAAGCCGAGCGCCCGUCAUGUUCUCUGGAAAAAAAAAAAGAAUUAGUGUGGAGUCGGUCGAAAUGUUGGGAAUAACAUCACGACCUCUUCCGAGAGACUGGUCUCGACAAUACCAUCUUCUCCUCAUAUUUACACACCUUGGUCUCUCUCUCUCACACACACGCACACACUCACUUUCAAUGCCACGAAUUUGCUUCAGCGGGAACCCUCAGCGUCAGAGUGAGGCAUCAUAGGAUUCAUCUCAUUUCUCCACAGGCUCAAUGGUAGAAACAGAGCUGACGGAGAAGCUUUGUACAGUUUUUAGUGCAAUCGUACUUAUUAAUUAUCUGACAACUCGACACUUAAGUACAACAGAUGCUCACACACAUGUACAGACACACACACACACACACACUCCAGUUGUAAAGGAUGUGCAUCGAUUCAUCACUUGAUGUGUAGAAAAACGUAACAGAAAACGAACAGACUCUCGUUAUUAAUAAUGUCAAUUACUGUAAAGACCCCAUGAGACAGAAGUAAGUGAUGAGGAAGAGUGAUAAAUGAAAAAAAGUUAUGUGACUAGAGUGAUGGAAGUGGUUUGGAUAGAGAUUGUGAUUACUGAGUAUUUUGUAAUGAAUGCAAAUACACAAUUUUAACUCUUCUUCAACUACUGUACCUUAACAUCUAUCAUGCUGAUGGAAAAGCUGAAGUAGAAAGACUUGAUGAAAGAACAGUGUGGAAAGCAACAGCAAGCGUCUGAAUCACACUGAAGAAAUCCUCCUUCUCCACUGUUGUUUACAGCAAGAAUGGAGGAAAAAAAUGCCUUCAACAACGUCUCGACUCAACUUGUUUUUUUCUUUUUUUUUUCUUCAUGGGGUCUUUAAAUUGCAUCUAUCCUCACUAAAUCAGAAAUAAUAACAUUGGUGAUUUCUCUCGGUCUCACGAGAUGUUUAACAUCGUUACAACACGAAGGUCUCACAUAUAUUAACACAUUGCACUGUACAAACAUGUGACUCGUGUUCAGUGUUCGAAAGAGCAUGAAAAAAAGACAAUGGAGAGAGAGAAAAAAGGGGGGAGUUUUAGGAACAGUAUCAAUCUGCAACACCUGCCUAAGCCUUCCUCUGCCUGAUCGUGUAACUCGAGAACUCUCGACUUUGAAACUACAUUUCCUUUAUUGACUUCACUUACAUCUCACUCCGCCGCCCGACCGGAUCUCAUCCCACUGCACCCUUCGCCUCCUCCUCACUUCUCUUCAUGUUACACAUACAUACAGACAUACAGGUCAAUUACAGGUUUCAGGUUAUUACAUUCAAACAUGAUGCUCCUUUGUUUUGUUUUUUUGGCAAAUUUGUGCAGUGAAUUGUGUAAAACUGAGAUUUGCUGCUAAUUUCCCGACAGCUCUUUAAGUACUGUGUCGGGGGGGCACAGAAUACAUCGCCCCUUUAUUGCACUUAUGUGUGAUAUGGGAGACGAGAGAGGGGAUGGGAAUAAAAACAAUUGCUGUGAAGAGAAUAAUCAGAAUAUGUUUCGGAAUACUGGUUACCUCCUCUC
RNAcentral lists this long non-coding RNA (1651 nucleotides) under Scophthalmus maximus (turbot). RNAcentral's name for it is "lncRNA (ENSSMAG00000029820.1)". The record is from RNAcentral. Lineage: Eukaryota; Metazoa; Chordata; Actinopteri; Pleuronectiformes; Scophthalmidae.